GGUGCAUGGUUGUCGUCAGCUCGUGUCGUGAGAUGUUGGGUUAAGUCCCGCAACGAGCGCAACCCUCGCCUCUAGUUGCCAGCAUUCGGUUGGGCACUCUAGAGGGACUGCCGGCGACAAGUCGGAGGAAGGUGGGAUGACGUCAAAUCAUCAUGCCCCUUAUGACCUGGGCUACACACGUGCUACAAUGGGCGGUACAAAGGGCUGCGAACCCGCGAGGGGGAGCGAAUCCCAAAAAGCCGCUCUCAGUUCGGAUUGCAGGCUGCAACUCGCCUGCAUGAAGCCGGAAUCGCUAGUAAUCGCGGAUCAGCAUGCCGCGGUGAAUACGUUCCCGGGCCUU
This 340-nucleotide ribosomal RNA is filed under the name uncultured Geobacillus sp. Its description in RNAcentral is "bacterial SSU rRNA". It matches the Rfam family "Bacterial small subunit ribosomal RNA", at positions 1040 to 1382 of the family's 1533-position model. Lineage: Bacteria; Bacillati; Bacillota; Bacilli; Caryophanales; Anoxybacillaceae. The record is from RNAcentral.